RNAcentral lists this long non-coding RNA (516 nucleotides) under Coccomyxa subellipsoidea. RNAcentral describes it as "long non-coding RNA (CSUB_LNC000531)". Lineage: Eukaryota; Viridiplantae; Chlorophyta; Trebouxiophyceae; Coccomyxaceae. The record is from RNAcentral.
UUUGGAGGGGUUGGAUUGGCAUCUGCGUCCUCCCCUUCCUCGCCCAUGUCCACAUCAUCAUCCGCGCGUUCGUCCUCAUGCUCCCAAUCCUCCCCCUUCACUUGCUUAUCCACCUGCAACCACACCACAAGUUUACAUUGCUGGUGCCACUCAUGCAGUUGGGGAAAGUCCAUAUGCUUGCCUGUCACACCAUGACAAGGCCCCUGAAAUUUGUCAGGAGUUUACAGCAGUGUCCAAAGGAGGUUCAGUUUGAAGCUUACAGCGGUGUCCAAAGCACUGAAGGAGGUUCGAAUUGAAGCUUACAGCGGUGUCCAAAGCACUGAAAGGGGGUUCAAAUUGAGGCUUACAGCGACAUCGGUCCCCUCAUCAGCUUCGCCCUUGGGCUGCCCGUUGCGUCCGGGGGCGCCACUUGCUCCGCCUCGGGCCCCCCUCGACAUGAAGUCAUCUUCAUCCUCUUCAUCCCUCUCGGAGCCUGACGACGCAUCGUCAGCCACCGUGCCACCCUUCUCAUCCGCU